RNAcentral lists this ribosomal RNA (468 nucleotides) under uncultured bacterium. Its description in RNAcentral is "partial 16S ribosomal RNA". It matches the Rfam family "Bacterial small subunit ribosomal RNA", at positions 29 to 507 of the family's 1533-position model. The record is from RNAcentral.
ACGAACGCUGGCGGCGUGCUUAACACAUGCAAGUCGCACGGUGAAGCGAGUGCUUGCACUCGUGGAUCAGUGGCGAACGGGUGAGUAACACGUGAGUAACCUGCCCAUCACUCUGGGAUAAGCACUGGAAACGGUGUCUAAUACUGGAUACGACCAACCCUUGCAUGGGGUGUUGGUGGAAAGAUUUAUCGGUGAUGGAUGGACUCGCGGCCUAUCAGCUUGUUGGCGGGGUAAUGGCCCACCAAGGCGACGACGGGUAGCCGGCCUGAGAGGGUGACCGGCCGCACUGGGACUGAGACACGGCCCAGACUCCUACGGGAGGCAGCAGUGGGGAAUAUUGCACAAUGGGCGAAAGCCUGAUGCAGCGACGCCGCGUGAGGGAUGACGGCCUUCGGGUUGUAAACCUCUUUCAGCAGGGAAGAAGCGAAAGUGACGGUACCUGCAGAAGAAGCACCGGCUAACUACGUG